AUUGAACGCUGGCGGCAGGCCUAACACAUGCAAGUCGAACGGUAACAGGAAGAAGCUUGCUUCUUUGCUGACGAGUGGCGGACGGGUGAGUAAUGUCUGGGAAACUGCCUGAUGGAGGGGGAUAACUACUGGAAACGGUAGCUAAUACCGCAUAACGUCGCAAGACCAAAGAGGGGGACCUUCGGGCCUCUUGCCAUCGGAUGUGCCCAGAUGGGAUUAGCUAGUAGGUGGGGUAACGGCUCACCUAGGCGACGAUCCCAGCUGGUCUGAGAGGAUGACCAGCCACACUGGAACUGAGACACGGUCCAGACUCCUACGGGAGGCAGCAGUGGGGAAUAUUGCACAAUGGGCGCAAGCCUGAUGCAGCCAUGCCGCGUGUAUGAAGAAGGCCUUCGGGUUGUAAAGUACUUUCAGCGGGGAGGAAGGGAGUAAAGUUAAUACCUUUGCUCAUUGACGUUACCCGCAGAAGAAGCACCGGCUAACUCCGUG
Molecule: ribosomal RNA, 489 nt
Filed under: uncultured bacterium
Lineage: Bacteria
Description: partial 16S ribosomal RNA
Rfam family: Bacterial small subunit ribosomal RNA
Source: RNAcentral